Molecule: non-coding RNA, 113 nt
Organism: Acanthosepion pharaonis
Lineage: Eukaryota; Metazoa; Mollusca; Cephalopoda; Sepiida; Sepiidae
Source: the annotation of a GenBank genome assembly
UAUGGCCAUAUCGCGUUGAAAUACCGGUUCUCGCGUGAUCACCGAAGUUAAUCAACGUUGACCCUGGUCAGUACCUAGAUAGGUGACCUCUUGCGAAUACCAGGGGUCGUAAG